Molecule: transfer-messenger RNA, 109 nt
Filed under: Pseudorhodobacter sp.
Lineage: Bacteria; Pseudomonadati; Pseudomonadota; Alphaproteobacteria; Rhodobacterales; Paracoccaceae
Description: partial transfer-messenger RNA
Rfam family: Alphaproteobacteria transfer-messenger RNA
About the family: Bacterial tmRNA, also known as 10Sa RNA or SsrA, is named for its dual tRNA and mRNA-like properties.
Source: RNAcentral
CACCUUGCGGUGCACCGCCCCACCCCCUAUAUUGGUUUUGUUCGGGCUUGCUCGGACUAUGGCGAUAAACGCACCCGUAAUAAACGGCUCGGACCCGGGGGCGGUACCC